ACUCCUACGGGAGGCAGCAGUGGGGAAUAUUGCGCAAUGGGGGAAACCCUGACGCAGCGACGCCGCGUGAGUGAAGAAGGCCUUCGGGUUGUAAAGCUCUGUUUUAAGGGACGAAAGGUACGGGUAGUAACUGACCUGUAAGUGACGGUACCUUAAGAGGAAGCCCCGGCUAACUACGUGCCAGCAGCCGCGGUAAGACGUAGGGGGCGAGCGUUGUCCGGAAUUACUGGGCGUAAAGAGCACGUAGGCGGGGACUUAAGUCAGAUGUGAAAGCCCGGGGCUCAACCUCGGAACUGCAUUGGAAACUGGUAGACUUGAGUAUGUGAGGGGUCAGUGGAAUUCCUGGUGUAGGGGUGAAAUCCGUAGAGAUCAGGAGGAACACCGGUGGCGAAGGCGACUGACUGGAACAUAACUGACGCUGAGGCGCGAAAGCGUGGGUAGCAAACAGGAUUAGAUACCCUGGUAGUC
This 468-nucleotide ribosomal RNA is filed under the name uncultured bacterium. Its description in RNAcentral is "bacterial SSU rRNA". It matches the Rfam family "Bacterial small subunit ribosomal RNA", at positions 335 to 795 of the family's 1533-position model. The record is from RNAcentral.